This 69-nucleotide transfer RNA is filed under the name Bacteroides xylanisolvens. It matches the Rfam family "tRNA". Rfam says of the family: Transfer RNA (tRNA) molecules are approximately 80 nucleotides in length. Lineage: Bacteria; Pseudomonadati; Bacteroidota; Bacteroidia; Bacteroidales; Bacteroidaceae. The record is from RNAcentral.
UGCCAUAGCUUAGUUGGUAGAGCAAAGGACUGAAAAUCCUUGUGUACCCGGUUCGAUUCCUGGUGGCAC